AGGGUUUGAUUCUGGCUCAGGACGAACGCUGGCGGCGUGCCUAACACAUGCAAGUCGGACGGAGGAUUAAGCUUCGGUUUAAUCCUUAGUGGCGAACGGGUGAGUAACGCGUAGGCAACCUGCCCUUUAGACGGGGACAACAUUCCGAAAGGGAUGCUAAUACCGGAUGUGACAAAGCUGACGCAUGUUGGUUUUGUGAAAGAUGGCCUCUACAUGUAAGCUAUCGCUAAAGGAUGGGCCUGCGUCUGAUUAGCUGGUUGGUGGUGUAACGGACUACCAAGGCGAUGAUCAGUAGCCGGUCUGAGAGGAUGAACGGCCACAUUGGGACUGAGACACGGCCCAG
RNAcentral lists this ribosomal RNA (343 nucleotides) under uncultured bacterium. Its description in RNAcentral is "bacterial SSU rRNA". It matches the Rfam family "Bacterial small subunit ribosomal RNA", at positions 8 to 334 of the family's 1533-position model. The record is from RNAcentral.